RNAcentral lists this transfer RNA (55 nucleotides) under Eupelmus sp. ZJUH_2016012. RNAcentral's name for it is "tRNA-Cys". The record is from RNAcentral. Lineage: Eukaryota; Metazoa; Arthropoda; Insecta; Hymenoptera; Eupelmidae.
UGUUUAAAAUAUAUUAAAUUGCAAAUUUAAUUAUUCAAUAAAAUUGAUUAAACAU